This 2194-nucleotide ribosomal RNA is filed under the name Listeria monocytogenes. Its description in RNAcentral is "partial 23S ribosomal RNA". It matches the Rfam family "Bacterial large subunit ribosomal RNA", at positions 1 to 2187 of the family's 2925-position model. The record is from RNAcentral. Lineage: Bacteria; Bacillati; Bacillota; Bacilli; Caryophanales; Listeriaceae.
GGUUAAGUUAGAAAGGGCGCACGGUGGAUGCCUUGGCACUAGGAGCCGAAGAAGGACGGGACUAACACCGAUAUGCUUUGGGGAGCUGUACGUAAGCGUUGAUCCAGAGAUUUCCGAAUGGGGGAACCCACUAUCUUUAGUCGGAUAGUAUCCUUACGUGAAUACAUAGCGUGAGGAAGGCAGACCCAGGGAACUGAAACAUCUAAGUACCUGGAGGAAGAGAAAGAAAAAUCGAUUUCCUGAGUAGCGGCGAGCGAAACGGAAAGAGCCCAAACCAAGAAGCUUGCUUCUUGGGGUUGUAGGACACUCUAUACGGAGUUACAAAAGAAAGUUAUAAAUGAAGCGGUCUGGAAAGGCCCGCCAAAGACGGUAACAGCCCGGUAGUUGAAAUGGCUUUCCCUCCAGAGUGGAUCCUGAGUACGGCGGAACACGUGAAAUUCCGUCGGAAUCCGGGAGGACCAUCUCCCAAGGCUAAAUACUCCCUAGUGACCGAUAGUGAACCAGUACCGUGAGGGAAAGGUGAAAAGCACCCCGGAAGGGGAGUGAAACAGUUCCUGAAACCGUGUGCCUACAAGUAGUUAGAGCCCGUUAAUGGGUGAUAGCGUGCCUUUUGUAGAAUGAACCGGCGAGUUACGAUUUGUUGCAAGGUUAAGCGGAAAAAGCGGAGCCGUAGCGAAAGCGAGUCUGAAUAGGGCGCAUAAGUAACAGGUCGUAGACCCGAAACCAGGUGAUCUACCCAUGUCCAGGAUGAAGGUAAGGUAAUACUUACUGGAGGUCCGAACCCACGCACGUUGAAAAGUGCGGGGAUGAGGUGUGGGUAGCGGAGAAAUUCCAAUCGAACUUGGAGAUAGCUGGUUCUCUCCGAAAUAGCUUUAGGGCUAGCCUCGAGGUAAAGAGUCAUGGAGGUAGAGCACUGUUUGGACUAGGGGCCCUUCUCGGGUUACCGAAUUCAGAUAAACUCCGAAUGCCAUGUACUUAUACUCGGGAGUCAGACUGCGAGUGAUAAGAUCCGUAGUCGAAAGGGAAACAGCCCAGACCACCAGUUAAGGUCCCCAAAUAUAUGUUAAGUGGAAAAGGAUGUGGGGUUGCUUAGACAACCAGGAUGUUGGCUUAGAAGCAGCCACCAUUGAAAGAGUGCGUAAUAGCUCACUGGUCGAGUGACCCCGCGCCGAAAAUGUACCGGGGCUAAACAUAUUACCGAAACUGUGGAUGAACCUCUUUAGAGGUUCGUGGUAGGAGAGCGUUCUAAGGGCGGUGAAGUCAGACCGGAAGGACUGGUGGAGCGCUUAGAAGUGAGAAUGCCGGUAUGAGUAGCGAAAGAAGGGUGAGAAUCCCUUCCACCGAAUAUCUAAGGUUUCCUGAGGAAGGCUCGUCCGCUCAGGGUUAGUCGGGACCUAAGCCGAGGCCGAUAGGCGUAGGCGAUGGACAACAGGUAGAGAUUCCUGUACCAGUGCUAAUUGUUUAACCGAUGGGGUGACACAGAAGGAUAGGGAAUCGCACGAAUGGAAAUGUGCGUCCAAGCAGUGAGUGUGAGAAGUAGGCAAAUCCGCUUCUCGCGAAGCAUGAGCUGUGAUGGGGAAGGAAAUUAAGUACGGAAGUUCCUGAUUUCACGCUGUCAAGAAAAGCCUCUAGGAAGAGUAGUACUGCCCGUACCGCAAACCGACACAGGUAGAUGAGGAGAGAAUCCUAAGGUGAGCGAGAGAACUCUCGUUAAGGAACUCGGCAAAAUGACCCCGUAACUUCGGGAGAAGGGGUGCUCUAUUAGGGUGCAAGCCCGAGAGAGCCGCAGUGAAUAGGCCCAGGCGACUGUUUAGCAAAAACACAGGUCUCUGCAAAACCGUAAGGUGACGUAUAGGGGCUGACGCCUGCCCGGUGCUGGAAGGUUAAGAGGAGUGCUUAGCUUCGGCGAAGGUACGAAUUGAAGCCCCAGUAAACGGCGGCCGUAACUAUAACGGUCCUAAGGUAGCGAAAUUCCUUGUCGGGUAAGUUCCGACCCGCACGAAAGGCGCAACGAUCUGGGCACUGUCUCAACGAGAGACUCGGUGAAAUUAUAGUACCUGUGAAGAUGCAGGUUACCCGCGACAGGACGGAAAGACCCCGUGGAGCUUUACUGCAACCUGAUAUGGAAUGUUUGUACCGCUUGUACAGGAUAGGUAGGAGCCGAAGAGACGUGUGCGCUAGCAUACGAGGAGGC